UCCAAGGCCCACAGCGAACUUGGACUCAGGUCUGAGGCCCAGCCUUUGACUCAGAACGGGGAGUCAGAACUGGUUCUGAGACCUGGAAUCCAGACUCAUGAUCUAGAGCUUUCACUCAACCAAACCCCAACUGGACAGGAGAGCCAGCCUGUCCUAAGAACCCUCCACAUCCCACACGGGCCUCACACCGGUCCUCUGGGAAGUCUGGGGAGAAACAACCACCAGAGCCCAGUCUAAGGAGCAGGGACUCCUCUGCAUUCCCAACACACCAUCAGAGAACAAACCCCAUGGCUGGACCAGCUGAGACCUCCUGGCUCAUCCUCCCCUGAGGCUCUUCUCACACGAUCCUUCUGACCCAGCCACAGAAAACGAAUCUACCCAGAUCCCCUAUAUCACAGCAGAGGUGUGCCUGCCUCUUGGAUGGAGCUCCCAUCGACAAGCCGGCCUCUCCACGCUGUGCCCUCGUAUACAGGAACACAGAUUCUCCCACACAUCUGCAGCCG
Aethalodelphis obliquidens (Pacific white-sided dolphin) is the source of this 503-nucleotide long non-coding RNA. RefSeq lists it as uncharacterized. NCBI's taxonomy places the organism in Eukaryota, Metazoa, Chordata, Mammalia, Artiodactyla, Delphinidae. The transcript is spliced from 4 exons. The record is from RefSeq and is a predicted model, not a curated record.